UCUGGGGCUUCUCAUGUUAUCUGUCAUAAUCCUUUCCCCAUGAGCAGGUCAGUGACAGAACUGGGAUUUGAAUCCACAUCUGAAUGACUCCAGAGCCUGUGCUCUUUAUGUUAGAUCAUAGAGGAAUGGGGGAUGUUAUAAUUCUUUUAUUCAGGUUAACACUUGUUGUAUUCUUCAAGCUCUUAUUUUCUUCUCCAGCAUAUCUUGAAAUCAAAGUUAACGAGGCUAAUGAAGGCUUCUCAGCAAUCCAAGAGAAACAGUAAGUUAUUUGAAGACUGUCCUCCUGGUGUUAUUCCUUGAUUUGAAAUGACACAUGUUCUCAUGUACUCUCUCCUGUUUUCACUGUACUAGAAGCAAAAUGUGGCAUUUUGAGACCAGAGAGUACAACUUUCUCUCAGGACAGUAAUUCUGAUAGUAAUGUUGAAGAUGUGGUUGAAACAUUUCCCAAACCAUCACCCUGGUUUGAGGGCAUCUGUCAUCCUGCCUUCCCAUCGCCUGAGCCUGUUUCAAAACUUCUCAAGUCUGUAGCAGGCCUUGGUCGUACAAAGAUCUGUCAAGAGAACUAGACUUGGAAAUGAUAACAGAGGAAGAACAAGGAAAACUUGAUGAAGAUGAGAAUAACCAUGCACAGGUAUGUAAAACUGUAAAUUUCAAUAUCUGGUGUAGUACUGUAUGAAAAAAUGUGUAUCAAACAAGGCAAAUUAGAAUGGAAAGAUAAGUUAACACCCAUCACAAAUGAGUUAAAGCAGAAGUUCAGUGAAAUUUUGUGAGGAAUACCAAAAUACCAACUACAUGAUAACCC
Molecule: long non-coding RNA, 802 nt
Organism: Bubalus bubalis (water buffalo)
Lineage: Eukaryota; Metazoa; Chordata; Mammalia; Artiodactyla; Bovidae
Exons: 2
Source: RefSeq, a predicted model, not a curated record